GUGGGCUGGGAACAUCAGUGAAAACAUUGUAAAGACACGGACAAGAGUGGUCACAUGGUCAGACGAGUGGCAACGAUGCCUGAUCGAAGGGACUGGCACUGAUGAAGACGAGAUCUGGAGGGAAAUCACAGGAAGUGGAUCUAGCGUUCUGGGUCCUGAGAGGUCUGAGAUAGAGCGAAGGCGCCUUUUCCAGAAGUGUGCUGUGGAAUCAGUUUCUCUGGAUGGCGUUCAAGAAGAAUUCAGACACUUAUCAAAGACCUGAAGGAAGACUUUGCUCAAGAGAAGCUACUGCGCUGGGGGUUCUGCAGGGGGAGGAGCUCGACUCCACGUACAGAGGAAAAGCAGAAACUGAUAGCCAGGGAGCGGGCUGCGGGCGGUGCAGGGAAAACGACUCCGAGGAAACCUCCAGGCUGGGGCAGUGGCUAAAGCAACGUGACAGGGUUCUGACUGAGGGCAGGCCGGGGGCAGACGGGAGGGCCUCGAUCAGAUCUCGAGGGCGGGAGAGUUUGCUACACAGACACAGCAGGAUUCUUGCUCAAACUGGACUGAAGCGGGCUGAGCACAGAGCUGAGGCCCGGGCCUCGUCAGAGAGAGGACUCGGAGGAGCCCGACACAAGUUUGGUCAAAGGGGAGAGUGUGUCAAUGGUAAUAAGUAAAAUGACUGCGAGAGAGCCCGCAGAGUCCUCGUGGUCCCCAGGGCCCCAACCUCACCUGCUGGCCGGGUCAGCCGGGGUCAAGUCCUGCCUCUCCACCCCCUUGUGACCUCACAGAGGUGACCCUGGAGGCCAGCUGGGAGGGGCAGAAAGAGGGGUCACUCAGUUCUCGAGUAGCUGUCAUGUGGGCCUCUGACAGAGCAGGUCAGGAGAGAGCAGGCGGUUACAGCAGGUCACAAGGAUGAAGACUCCGGGCAGGACCGGAGGAGGAAAGCAGCGAGGUGCAUGUGGGAGAGCAAUUCUCCACAACCGUCUGCGAGAGACUGUGGUUGGACAAUUUGAUGCACGGUUUCUCUCAGGACUUCCUGAUAAUUCUGCCCUCACACGUGUAGAAAUCCCAAGAGAACGAAGGCCCUCCCUCAGCCAUCUGAGAUUGCAGCCAGGUACCUGAAGAGGGCUUCUCGAAUCUUUACCAGCCACUGACUUCAAAGGGCGUCCUGGCUGGAGGAGAAGGGUGGACGAGACAAGGAGACCGGCUCCCCCUGAAGUCAGGCCUGUGUCAAGAUCCCGCAAACUUUCCCGCCUGCAGAUUCAUUCCUCUUUCCACCGCUACCCUGAGGCUCAUAGGAGAAUGUUCUCCACGUAAAGAAGGAAAUCAUGCUCUGGCAGCCGGAUCCUGAGCGAUCGUUCUGAGGGAGAAGUGUUUUUCUAGCUGUAAAGGCAGUAUUUGAAUUUCACCAGCUGCUUCCUAAUGACCGUUAGAAUAUUCUGGUGAUGCCACCAGCUGCAGGACGGUUAUGGAUGUGGCCUAAUCUUUCGUUAAUCAGGGAGAGUUUUGUAUCUGGGGAGAUGACACUUAUUUGACGUAAUCCGCAUGUCUUCUCUCUGGGUGUUCCCAAUUCCUCCAGCCUUACUGAUCACCCCAACCAUCAGUAAUCAAAUAAAAGUGGCUUGAGACCCCAUCACACACAGAAAUUCACACGUGGAAACAAAACCCAGCAGCGCAGUCCAGGACCAAGCUAUUUGUGGCUUUCCGUCGUAAAGUCUCCUCUUGGUGCCCCGUGACAUCUCAAGACUGUGAAGCUCUUCUUUCCAUCUUACUCGGGAGGUGAGAGUUGGCCCAUCUCCAGGGCUUUAGUGUUGAUGGCAAUUCCAUCAGCAAACUGAGGCUUGGAGAAGUGAAAAACCUGCCCAAGGAUAAACUGCUUUCAAGAGGCAGAGGCUAGUUUUGAAACUUGGCUCUGCGACACCAGUCUGUACUCUUUCCAGCUGUCCGUAUCCAGCCAACCAGUCCCGCCGCCCAUGAGCUGCCCGAUGCUGAAGAUCACGUGGAAGGUGCUACGUGGGAUGUGGUUUUGAUCAAGAAACAGUCCUGCCCUGAUCUCAAACACAAUCACUGUGAUAAGAGCCACGUGUGAGAAGGUCCAAGUUAGUGGACUCAAUGGCGUGUGACCGGAGUGCUAAGCAGAGCGGGGCCGUGUGACUGUGAGCUCAGAUCGUUUCUGGCUAGUCUCAAACCUUUGGCCGAGUGCCUCAAUCUUCAUUUCACCUCUUGCUGCGGAACUCAUUUUUUUUUUUUAAGCCCAAGAGUCCAACCUCAGUCAUCUCCUAAGAUCACGUAAUGAGGCCAUCUCACAGGGCAGGCUGUGGUCACACCACAGUUGAUUUGUUGCUGUAAUGAAAGCCACAUGCUUCGUGGUAUUUUUGGGCUCGUUAAUAUCAGCAGGUCAGAGCAUUUUUAUUUAGAUAUUGCUAUUCCAGCUGUGCUUCCUCUACUUACUUCAAGAAAAUUCAGAAUUUCCACCGAACCAUAGGCUUUCAGGAAAGUGGAAAGUCGAAAGUUAACGACCAGCACUUUCCACCCCCGCGCCUUGGGUCUACUGGUUUCCAUACGGGCUUUGUAUUGGUCUCCUUGAGUCUUUAUGAAAGGAAAGACGUGGCUGACCCAGGGGCUUGCUCUCAAAGGACGAUGGAACCAAUAACAAGCGGGGAGACAUGAUGAGGAGUGACUGCAGUUUGGCCUGGAGGCAAGAGAGGAGAGGAGAGAAGAGGGGAGAGGCUGGAAAAGGGGUGUCCAGCCACCUUGCUGAUCUUGCUGGGAUUUAUUGGCAUGGUGUGAUUUUUUUGUUGUUUGUUUGUUUUUAUUGUCUCGAGAAAGGGAGGCUCAUUCCAUUUCAUUCUCGAGUUCUCUUUGGAGUCGCUUGAAUCUCCAAAUUGGCUUCUUUCAGAGAGAGUUUUCUAUUUCUUGGGAAAGGACCUCAAAUUACUUUCCCAAUUAAGUUGUACCUCUCCUUCCCCAGCCAACAUUAAAUACCCAACCCCACUUCUCUCUCCCGCCAGAGAAACUGAGGCAGGACUUUGACUUUGAAUGUAAAGAUGUCAUUAAGAGUAGUCAUCUUGGGGCCGGCCUGGAGAUGCAGUGAAGAUUACACACUCCGCUUCAGCACCCUGAGGUUCGCCAGUUCGGAUCCUGGGCGCAGACCUACACACUGCUUAUCAAACCAUGCUGUGGCAGUGUCCCACAUAUGAGAUAGAGGAAGAUAGGCACAGAUGUUAGCUCAGGGCUAGUCUUCCUCAGCAAAAAGAAAAGAGUAGUGAUCUCGGUCCUUAGGAUGGGUCUUUGUGGACCCAAGGAGUGACUGAAGGACACACACUCCUCUGCCCAGGAGGCUGGAGGAAAAAGGGGAGAAAGAAAGGAUGAUCAGGGCCCCUCAGAACCACCUUACGGAUGCAGACCUUUCUGCUGAGGGUCAGGUCAGUUUGUGCCAGGCCCACGAAACAACAGCUCAGACCCUCUGUUGGUGGAGGUCCAGCCGAGGAGAUUUUGCUUUGGCAUAUGUUUUCUUUAACCGAUGUAUUACAAAUGUUUUAAACCCAACAGCCAUAAGCAGGAAACUGCUGAAUUUUCCCCACCACGGACACCUUGAAAACAUAUGCUGCUCAAUCUCCUCUCCUUGUCCCCUUCUGUAGAAUGGCCAUUUUCAGGUAAAAAAACCCCAACAAAACAAAUCUUAUUUUGAUAAUUAAGACUCUUCAAGUGUUAAAAGGCCCAAUAGAGUGUAAAUCAAGACUUCUCCCGUUGCUGUAGCCGAGGCCUGACCCUCGGCUGGGGGUCCCGGAAUGGGGAAGGAGGGGUUGAUGAUGGUCUGUUUGUUCCCGAUUUUCCUCACUCCCUCCGUCUCCUCGAUCGGCUGUGCAGCAAUAAAACAUGGUUUACCAGUCCUCGUUCACGUUACAAGUAUACAUGGGGCGCUUCCUAGGUGGCUGGCCUUGCACUGAGCCCUGGAGACACGGCAGUUAGAAGGACAUGAUCUCUGCUCACACAGAGCUCCCAGUCUACGGGGCUGAUCUGGCAAAUCCACACGGUGGGGUUGUAAGUGCUUGGAUGGUAUAUGCACAGGGGCCCAGAGGUCAUAGGAGGCCAUACUGCCUGGACUUUAACAAGG
Molecule: non-coding RNA, 4099 nt
Organism: Equus caballus (horse)
Lineage: Eukaryota; Metazoa; Chordata; Mammalia; Perissodactyla; Equidae
Source: RefSeq, a predicted model, not a curated record